RNAcentral lists this ribosomal RNA (403 nucleotides) under uncultured bacterium. RNAcentral's name for it is "partial 16S ribosomal RNA". It matches the Rfam family "Bacterial small subunit ribosomal RNA", at positions 30 to 526 of the family's 1533-position model. The record is from RNAcentral.
AUUGAACGCUGGCGGCAGGCCUAACACAUGCAAGUCGAGCGAGCGGCGGACGGGUGAGUAAUGUAUGGGGACUGCCCGAUAGAGGGGGAUAACUACUGGAAACGGUAGCUCAUACCGCAUACUAUCGGAUAACCCAUAUGGGAUUAGCUAGUAGGUUAGGUAAUGGCUCACCUAGGCGACGAUCCCUAGCUGGUCUGAGAGGAUGAUCAGCCACACUGGGACUGAGACACUGCCCAGACUCCUACGGAGGCAGCAGUGGGGAAGAUUGCAAAAUGGGCGAAAGCCUGAUGCAGCCAUGCCGCGUGUAUGAAGAAGGCCUUAGGGUUGUAAAGUACUUUCAGGCGGGAGGCGUUACCGGCAGAAGAAGCACCGGCUAACUCCGUGCCAGCAGCCGCGGUAAUAC